CUUGCUCCCUUAGGUCAGCGGCGGACGGGUGAGUAACACGUGGGUAACCUGCCUGUAAGACUGGGAUAACUCCGGGAAACCGGGGCUAAUACCGGAUGCUUGAUUGAACCGCACGGUUCAAUCAUAAAAGGUGGCUUUUAGCUACCACUUACAGAUGGACCCGCGGCGCAAUAGCUAGUUGGUGAGGUAACGGCUCACCAAGGCGACGAUGCGUAGCCGACCUGAGAGGGUGAUCGGCCACACUGGGACUGAGACACGGCCCAGACUCCUACGGGAGGCAGCAGUAGGGAAUCUUCCGCAAUGGACGAAAGUCUGACGGAGCAACGCCGCGUGAGUGAUGAAGGUUUUCGGAUCGUAAAACUCUGUUGUUAGGGAAGAACAAGUACCGUUCGAAUAGGGCGGUACCUUGACGGUACCUAACCAGAAAGCCACGGCUAACUACGUGCCAGCAGCCGCGGUAAUACGUAGGUGGCAAGCGUUGUCCGGAAUUAUUGGGCGUAAAGCGCGCGCAGGCGGUUUCUUAAGUCUGAUGUGAAAGCCCCCGGCUCAACCGGGGAGGGUCAUUGGAAACUGGGGAACUUGAGUGCAGAAGAGGAGAGUGGAAUUCCACGUGUAGCGGUGAAAUGCGUAGAGAUGUGGAGGAACACCAGUGGCGAAGGCGACUCUCUGGUCUGUAACUGACGCUGAGGCGCGAAAGCGUGGGGAGCGAACAGGAUUAGAUACCCUGGUAGUCCACGCCGUAAACGAUGAGUGCUAAGUGUUAGAGGGUUUCCGCCCUUUAGUGCUGCAGCAAACCCAUUAACACUCCGCCUGGGGAGUACGGUCGCAAGACUGAACUCAAA
RNAcentral lists this ribosomal RNA (842 nucleotides) under Bacillus licheniformis. RNAcentral's name for it is "bacterial SSU rRNA". It matches the Rfam family "Bacterial small subunit ribosomal RNA", at positions 79 to 905 of the family's 1533-position model. Lineage: Bacteria; Bacillati; Bacillota; Bacilli; Caryophanales; Bacillaceae. The record is from RNAcentral.